GAAGGGUGGCUCGGACGGUAAGAGGUAAGUUUGCUAAACUUCAGCCUGCUUUAUAGUAGAAUAGGUUCGACUCCUAUACCCUUCA
The sequence is a transfer RNA, 85 nucleotides long. It matches the Rfam family "tRNA". Rfam says of the family: Transfer RNA (tRNA) molecules are approximately 80 nucleotides in length.